RNAcentral lists this non-coding RNA (153 nucleotides) under Candidatus Peribacteria bacterium RIFCSPHIGHO2_01_FULL_51_9. RNAcentral's name for it is "6S RNA". It matches the Rfam family "6S / SsrS RNA". From Rfam's summary of the family: E. coli 6S RNA was the first non coding RNA to be sequenced, but its function was unknown until recently. It consists of 184 nucleotides that fold into an extended hairpin structure with a large single-stranded internal bulge. The record is from RNAcentral. Lineage: Bacteria; Candidatus Peregrinibacteriota; Candidatus Peribacteria.
CCCCGUCUAGGCGAUCCGUCAGAGCAGUAUCGUUUAUCCUCAAACGCUACUAUGGGAGGCUCAAUCUCCUGCGAUCGUGGUUGCAGGAUGCGGUCACCCACCUGGAAAAAACCAGGAUUAAGCGUCUCUGCUCAACGGUCGUUUGGAUGUCUG